GACGAACGCUGGCGGCGUGCCUAAUACAUGCAAGUAGGACGCACAGCCUAUACCGUAGCUUGCUACACCAUAGGCUGUGAGUUGCGAACGGGUGAGUAACGCGUAGGUAACCUGCCUAUUAGAGGGGGAUAACUAUUGGAAACGAUAGCUAAUACCGCAUAACAGUAUGUAACACAUGUUAGAUGCUUGAAAGAUGCAAUUGCAUCGCUAGUAGAUGGACCUGCGUUGUAUUAGCUAGUAGGUAGGGUAAUGGCCUACCUAGGCAACGAUACAUAGCCGACCUGAGAGGGUGAUCGGCCACACUGGGACUGAGACACGGCCCAGACUCCUACGGGAGGCAGCUAGUAGGGAAUCUUCGGCAAUGGGGGGAACCCUGACCGAGCAACGCCGCGUGAGUGAAGAAGGUUUUCGGAUCGUAAAGCUCUGUUGUUAAGGAAGAACGAGUGUGAGAAUGGAAAGUUCAUACUGUGACG
Molecule: ribosomal RNA, 473 nt
Filed under: Streptococcus anginosus
Lineage: Bacteria; Bacillati; Bacillota; Bacilli; Lactobacillales; Streptococcaceae
Description: bacterial SSU rRNA
Rfam family: Bacterial small subunit ribosomal RNA
Source: RNAcentral